Non-coding RNA from Macaca mulatta (Rhesus monkey), 2660 nucleotides. NCBI's taxonomy places the organism in Eukaryota, Metazoa, Chordata, Mammalia, Primates, Cercopithecidae. The record is from RefSeq and is a predicted model, not a curated record.
CAUGGGGAGUUAGAGGACAGUUUUGAAAAGUAGGACAUGGUAAGACUUAUCCUUUGAAAGCUUCUCUCUGGCUGCUGUGCUGAGAACAGAAUUGAGAGGUGGAGACCAGUGAGGCAGUGGGGAAAACGGUGGGAAAGGAGUGGAAUAUUCCAGAAUGGAGAUGUUGCUUACUUUGACUGGGGUGUGAGCAGGGGAAAUAGUGGGAACUGAAGGGAUUCUGGAUGAAUGUGAAGAUGGACUUCACAGCACUUGCUAAUGGAUUUAUCUGUGGUGUGAGAAGAAGAAUCAAGGACACCUACAGUGUUGGACUGAGUGAGCAGAAGGGUGGAGCUGCUGUCAGUGGAGAUGGGGAGACUCUGGCAGGAGCAUACAGAGGAGAGGGCAUCGCGGGCAUUCAGUGGAGGAGACAUCUACGAGGAAUGCAGGUGAGGGGCCCAGAUGCCUCUGCAGCUACAGAUUCAUCAUCCAAUCACUCUCCUACUUCCACCAGCCCUGUGUCUCAGAGCCAGAGCACUGAUUCUCCCCUGGGCUGUCUGCACAGGCAGGUGAAAGUCAGGGAAGUUACGGUCUGCUGUUGGUUAUAAUAAGUCACAGAUUAUUGUGCUUUCUCAGAUAAUUAAAGAAAUAAUAAGAGGAUGUAUAAUUAGAACACUUAGUCACAAGACUACAAUAAUGCAAAGUUUUUUAUUCAUCUAAAGAAGGAAACAGAAGAAAAAUAGUUGAGCCAGAAAGAGAUAAUAUUAGAAGGCAGCAAAUGACAAUGUACAGACUUAAACCCAAUGAGGUCAACAAUUACUUUAAACAUAAUGGACUCAGACACUCCAAUUACAAGACAAAUAGUGCAGGGGGUAAAAAUAAAUAAGUAAAUAAAUAAAUAACCGUAGGCUAUUGACAAAAGCUAUAAUUUAAGUAGAAGAUACAGAAAAGUUGAAAGUAAAAGGAUAGAAAUACCAGACAAACAUUCAUGAAAAACCACAUGGAGAUGCCAUUUAGAAAAAUUACAGGACAUGGGUCUCCUGAGACAUGGAGUACAUGCAGACAGCUCACACUGUGUUUUUCCUUUUUUUCAGAGACAGGGUCUGUUGCCCAGGCUGCAAUGCAAUGGUGAUAUCAUACCUCACUGUAACCUCAAACUCCUGGGCUGAAGCAAUUCUCCUGCCUCAGCCUUCCGAGUAGCUAGGACGACAGGCAUGUGCCGCCACACCUGCUAUAAUGUCUCAUUUUCUCAUUUGCUGAGGUGUGAUCAAGGAAACAAUAUCGUGCCAUGUAUUUGACUUGCAGCAGGUACACAACAAUGUCAGGUGAAUGAAGAAAUAAAACCAUUUAGUAAUCCAAGCCAUAUCCACAUUUACAUUUUACAGGUGAGGAGCAACAUCCCAGACAAGUAAAAUAAACUGAUUUGCAUCAUCCAGAGCAGAAUCGAGAACUAUUCCCUGUGCUAAAGGAAUCAGAGCUCUACCAGGGGUCAUAGCAGUCCCGGCCAGUUCCCUGCCUCGACUCCAUCAACAUCGGCACCUGCCAGAUGCCCAGCACCCACCAAGUAAGGAGUGAAAAGACCGCAGGACUAAAGAACAAGACGAGAUUCCACCCCAGCCAUCCCUCCCCUCCUAGAGCUCUAGCUCUGUGCGUUUAGUGCUUAGGCUGUUAAUCUGGGGUCCGUGAACCCACUUUCCUGUGACACUGCAUGCAGAAGUGAUGUAACAUGCACACAUGACUCCAUUACAGGACAUUGGAUAUUAAUAUUCAUCAGAUCAGCUAGAGGCCCAAGACACCACUCUUCCCCCAACAGCUUGUGAUCCUCUGAAUUAAAGAAAGGGUAGAGAUUGAGGGCGGCCCUAACUCCAAAUCUUCAACCCCUUCCAGGAAAGUGCUGAAAAGCGGUGCAAGGUACUCAACCUGCGCUGGGGAUACAGCAGGAAAGCAGAGCGUUCGCGGAUUUCACAUUCCAUCAAAGAAAUACCCUUUUGAGAAAACAUCCAAGUCACUUUUCUAAGCUCCAGGCAGCAGCUAAAAAAAAAAAAAAAAGAAAAAUCUUGGCCCAGUGAAAUCUUUGAAGACAUAAAACUUUGUGAGACCUGUAUUUAGAGCGAAGGACAAUUUAAUUUAGGGCUGCAGCAGAAAACCCCUACAUCAUAUAGGGUUUUUCCUCAUCAUGAAGGUCCCCUGAACGGACCUUCUCCCCUCAGCAGUGCAUAGUGAGGCCAUUGCUGUGUAAAAAGACAGAAUCUCUUUGAUUCCUGAUGUUUACUUACUACUCACUCUUUGACUUUGUAGAUGCCAACUUCACAUUAGACAUCUUUCAGUUAGUUUCCUUACUCUGUCUAAGCAGAGAAUUUGAAAUUGUUUCUGAAGCAGAAAACCAGGGACUGGUUAUGAGCUAUCACCCUAUUCUGUGGCUCUCUUAUACAAUAAGCAUAAUAGAUUGUGGGCCAACAAAAUUUGUAGCAAGGUAAACAUAAACCCUUCAUUUCAGCCUAUGUUUCAGCUUGUCUAGUGAUGUUCCAGUCUUGCUCCAGUCUUAACAUUUAAAAAUUUAUAAUUUUACUUGAAUUUGAGUUUAUAAGAAGUCAUAUAUAUUCAUUUCUGUUGGGUUUCUCAGUGAAAGACUUCUCAAAACAACUGUGGAGGAAAGACAGGUAAAUAAAUGCAUGGUGCUCCCA